GAACGGUGAGAGAGCUUGCUCUGUGGAUCAGUGGCGAACGGGUGAGUAACACGUGAGCAACCUGCCCCUGACUCUGGGAUAAGCGCUGGAAACGGCGUCUAAUACUGGAUAUGUGACGUGACCGCAUGGUCUGCGUCUGGAAAGAAUUUCGGUUGGGGAUGGGCUCGCGGCCUAUCAGCUUGUUGGUGAGGUAAUGGCUCACCAAGGCGUCGACGGGUAGCCGGCCUGAGAGGGUGACCGGCCACACUGGGACUGAGACACGGCCCAGACUCCUACGGGAGGCAGCAGUGGGGAAUAUUGCACAAUGGGCGGAAGCCUGAUGCAGCAACGCCGCGUGAGGGAUGACGGCCUUCGGGUUGUAAACCUCUUUUAGCAGGGAAGAAGCGAAAGUGACGGUACCUGCAGAAAAAGCGCCGGCUAACUACGUGCCAGCAGCCGCGGUAAUACGUAGGGCGCAAGCGUUAUCCGGAAUUAUUGGGCGUAAAGAGCUCGUAGGCGGUUUGUCGCGUCUGCUGUGAAAUCCGGAGGCUCAACCUCCGGCCUGCAGUGGGUACGGGCAGACUAGAGUGCGGUAGGGGAGAUUGGAAUUCCUGGUGUAGCGGUGGAAUGCGCAGAUAUCAGGAGGAACACCGAUGGCGAAGGCAGAUCUCUGGGCCGUAACUGACGCUGAGGAGCGAAAGGGUGGGGAGCAAACAGCUUAGAUACCCUGGUAGUCCACCCCGUAAACGUUGGGAACUAGUUGUGGGGUCCAUUCCACGGAUUCCGUGACGCAGCUACGCAUUAAGUUCCCCGCCUGGGGAGUACGGCGCAGGCUAAACUCAAGGAAUGACGGGACCGCACAGCGGCGGAG
This 850-nucleotide ribosomal RNA is filed under the name Microbacterium maritypicum. RNAcentral's name for it is "bacterial SSU rRNA". It matches the Rfam family "Bacterial small subunit ribosomal RNA", at positions 64 to 937 of the family's 1533-position model. The record is from RNAcentral. Lineage: Bacteria; Bacillati; Actinomycetota; Actinomycetes; Micrococcales; Microbacteriaceae.